This 483-nucleotide ribosomal RNA is filed under the name uncultured Pelotomaculum sp. Its description in RNAcentral is "bacterial SSU rRNA". It matches the Rfam family "Bacterial small subunit ribosomal RNA", at positions 901 to 1382 of the family's 1533-position model. Lineage: Bacteria; Bacillati; Bacillota; Clostridia; Eubacteriales; Desulfotomaculaceae. The record is from RNAcentral.
UUAAAUGAAUUGACGGGGCCCGCACAAGCGGUGGAUUAUGUGGAUUAAUUCGACGCAACGCGAAGAACCUUACCAGGGCUUGACAUCCCCUGACCGCGUAUGAAAGUACGUUUUCACCCUCGGGUGACAGGGAGACAGGUGGUGCAUGGUUGUCGUCAGCUCGUGUCGUGAGAUGUUGGGUUAAGUCCCGCAACGAGCGCAACCCCUACGUUUAGUUGCUAACGCGUGAAGGCGAGCACUCUAGACGAACUGCCGUUGACAAAACGGAGGAAGGUGGGGAUGACGUCAAGUCCUCAUGGCCCUUAUGGGUAGGGCUUCACACGUCAUACAAUGGUCGGUACAGAGGGUUGCCAACCCGCGAGGGGGAGCUAAUCCCACAAAGCCGAUCGUAGUCCGGAUCGCAGUCUGCAACUCGACUGCGUGAAGUCGGAAUCGCUAGUAAUCGUGGAUCAGCAUGUCACGGUGAAUACGUUCCCGGGUCUU